AGUGAACGCUGGCGGUAGGCCUAACACAUGCAAGUCGAACGGCAGCACAGUAAUAGCUUGCUCUUACGGGUGGCGAGUGGCGGACGGGUGAGGAAUACAUCGGAAUCUACUUUUUCGUGGGGGAUCACGUAGGGAAACUUACGCUAAUACCGCAUACGACCUACGGGUGAAAGCAGGGGAUCUUCGGACCUUGCGCGAUUGAAUGAGCCGAUGUCGGAUUAGCUAGUUGGCGGGGUAAAGGCCCACCAAGGCGACGAUCCGUAGCUGGUCUGAGAGGAUGAUCAGCCACACUGGAACUGAGACACGGUCCAGACUACUACGGGAGGCAGCAGUGGGGAAUAUUGGACAAUGGGCGCAAGCCUGAUCCAGCCAUACCGCGUGGGUGAAGAAGGCCUUCGGGUUGUAAAGACCUUUUGUUGGGAAAGAAAAGCAGCAGGUUAAUACCCCGCUGUUCUGACGGUACCAAAAGAAUAAGCACCGGCUAACUUCGUG
RNAcentral lists this ribosomal RNA (492 nucleotides) under uncultured bacterium. RNAcentral describes it as "partial 16S ribosomal RNA". It matches the Rfam family "Bacterial small subunit ribosomal RNA", at positions 29 to 507 of the family's 1533-position model. The record is from RNAcentral.